RNAcentral lists this ribosomal RNA (393 nucleotides) under uncultured bacterium. Its description in RNAcentral is "bacterial SSU rRNA". It matches the Rfam family "Bacterial small subunit ribosomal RNA", at positions 29 to 417 of the family's 1533-position model. The record is from RNAcentral.
AUUGAACGCUGGCGGCAUGCCUAACACAUGCAAGUCGAACGGCAGCAUGAGGUGUAGCAAUACACCUUGAUGGCGAGUGGCGGACGGGUGAGGAAUGCAUCGGAAUCUGCCCAGUCGUGGGGGAUAACGUAGGGAAACUUACGCUAAUACCGCAUACGACCGUGAGGUGAAAGCGGGGGAUCGAAAGACCUCGCGCGAUUGGAGGAGCCGAUGCCGGAUUAGCUUGUUGGUGGGGUAACGGCCCACCAAGGCGACGAUCCGUAGCUGGUCUGAGAGGAUGAUCAGCAUCACUGGGACUGAGACACGGCCCAGACUCCUACGGGAGCAGCAGUGGGAAUAUUGGACAAUGGGCGCAAGCCUGAUCCAGCCAUGCCGCGUGGAUGAUGAAGGCCC